This 253-nucleotide ribosomal RNA is filed under the name uncultured bacterium. Its description in RNAcentral is "partial 16S ribosomal RNA". It matches the Rfam family "Bacterial small subunit ribosomal RNA", at positions 524 to 776 of the family's 1533-position model. The record is from RNAcentral.
UACGUAGGAGACGAGCGUUGUCCGGAGUUACUGGGCGUAAAGGGUGCGCAGGUGGCGGCGCGCGUGGGGGGUGAAAUCGCCCGGCUUAACUGGGCGGGGGCCUUCCAGACGGCGUGGCUUGAGCAGCGGAGGGGGACGUGGAAUUCCGGGUGUAGCGGUGGAAUGCGUAGAGAUCCGGAGGAAGACCGGUGGCGAAGGCGGUCUGCUGGGCAGAUACUGACGCUGAGGUACGAAAGCGUGGGGAGCAAACAGG